RNAcentral lists this ribosomal RNA (327 nucleotides) under uncultured eukaryote. RNAcentral describes it as "partial 18S ribosomal RNA". It matches the Rfam family "Eukaryotic small subunit ribosomal RNA", at positions 1470 to 1796 of the family's 1831-position model. The record is from RNAcentral.
CCCUUAGAUGUUCUGGGCUGCACGCGCGCUACACUGAUGCGUUCAACAAGUGUUAACCUUGCCCGAUAGGGUUGGGUAAUCUUUUGAAAGCGCAUCGUGAUGGGGAUCGAUGACUGCAAUUGUUCAUCUUCAACGAGGAAUUCCUAGUAAGCGCAAGUCAACAGCUUGCGUUGAUUACGUCCCUGCCCUUUGUACACACCGCCCGUCGCUACUACUGAUUGGAUGUUUAAGCGAGGUUCUCGAACUGCUAGCGACUUAGCUUCGGUGAGGUCGCAGUGUGGGAAGUGAACCUAGCUUUGGUGUCUAGAGGAAGUAAAAGUCGUAACA